RNAcentral lists this ribosomal RNA (484 nucleotides) under uncultured bacterium. RNAcentral describes it as "partial 16S ribosomal RNA". It matches the Rfam family "Bacterial small subunit ribosomal RNA", at positions 899 to 1397 of the family's 1533-position model. The record is from RNAcentral.
ACUCAAAUGAAUUGACGGGGACCCGCACAAGCGGUGGAGCGUGUUGUUUAAUUCGAUGGUAAGCGAAGAACCUUACCAAGGUUUGACAUCCUAGGAAUUUUGGUGAAAGCCGAGAGUGCCUUCGGGAACCUAGUGACAGGUGUUGCAUGGCCGUCUUCAGCUCGUGUCGUGAGAUGUUUGGUUAAGUCCAUCAACGAGCGCAACCCUUAUGGUUAGUUGUAUUUUUCUAGCCAGACUGCCCCGGUAACGGGGAGGAAGGGGGGGAUGAUGUCAGGUCAGUAUUACCCUUACACCUUGGGCAACAAACGCGCUACAAUGGCCGGUACAACGGGCUGCCAAGUCGUGAGACGGAGCAAAUCCCAUCAAAGCCGGUCCCAGUUCGGAUUGCAGGCUGAAACUCGCCUGCAUGAAGCCGGAAUCGCUAGUAAUCGCAGAUCAGAAUGCUGCGGUGAAUACGUUCCCGGGUCUUGUACACACCGCCCGU